RNAcentral lists this ribosomal RNA (781 nucleotides) under uncultured bacterium. Its description in RNAcentral is "bacterial SSU rRNA". It matches the Rfam family "Bacterial small subunit ribosomal RNA", at positions 602 to 1383 of the family's 1533-position model. The record is from RNAcentral.
CAUNGGCUCAACCAAUGUAUGCUUUGGAAACUGUUAGACUUGAGUGCAGAAGGGGAGAGUGGAAUUCCAUGUGUAGCGGUGAAAUGNGUAGAUAUAUGGAGGAACACCGGUGGCGAAAGCGGCUCUNUGGUCUGUCACUGACGCUGAGGCUCGAAAGCGUGGGUAGCGAACAGGAUUAGAUACCCUGGUAGUNCACGCCGUAAACGCUGAGUGCUAGGUGUUAGGUCCUUUCCGGGACUUAGUGCCGACGCUAACGCAUUAAGCACUCCGCCUGGGGAGUACGACCGCAAGGUUGAAACUCAAAGGAAUUGACGGGGGCCCGCACAAGCGGUGGAGCAUGUGGUUUAAUUCGAAGCAACGCGAAGAACCUUACCAGGUCUUGACAUCCCGAUGCCCGCUCUAGAGAUAGAGUUUUACUUUUUGUACAUCGGAGACAGGUGGUGCAUGGUUGUCGUCAGCUCGUGUCGUGAGAUGUUGGGUUAANNNNNNCAACGAGCGCAACCCUUAUUGUUAGUUGCCAUCAUUAAGUUGGGCACUCUAGCGAGACUGCCGGUAAUAAACCGGAGGAAGGUGGGGAUGAUGUCAAAUCAUCAUGCCCCUUAUGACCUGGGCUACACACGUGCUACAAUGGUUGGUACAACGAGUCGCAAGCCGGUGACGGCAAGCUAAUCUCUGAAAGCCAAUCUCAGUUCGGAUUGUAGGCUGCAACUCGCCUACAUGAAGUCGGAAUCGCUAGUAAACGCGGAUCAGCACGCCGCGGUGAAUACGUUCCCGGGCCUUG